AGAGCGAACGCUGGCGGCAGGCCUAACACAUGCAAGUCGAGCGCCCGUAGCAAUACGGGAGCGGCAGACGGGAUAGUAACACGUGGGAACGCGCCCUUCGGUUCGGAAUAACUCAGGGAAACUUGAGCUAAUACCGGAUACGCCCUUACGGGGAAAGAUUUAUUGCCGAAGGAACGGCCCGCGUCCGAUUAGCUAGUUGGUGAGGUAAUGGCUCACCAAGGCGACGAUCGGUAGCUGGUCUGAGAGGAUGACCAGCAUCACUGGGACUGAGACACGGCCCAGACUCCUACGGGAGGCAGCAGUGGGGAAUAUUGGACAAUGGGCGCAAGCCUGAUCCAGCCAUGCCGCGUGGAUGAUGAAGGCCUUAGGGUGUAAAGUCCUUUUAACGGGGAAGAUAAUGACGGUACCCGUAGAAUAAGCCCCGGCUAACGUUCGUGCCAGCAGCCGC
This 448-nucleotide ribosomal RNA is filed under the name uncultured bacterium. Its description in RNAcentral is "SSU rRNA". It matches the Rfam family "Bacterial small subunit ribosomal RNA", at positions 26 to 518 of the family's 1533-position model. The record is from RNAcentral.